CUUCACCGAGCCGAGCAGCAGCGGGCGGUCGACGGAGCGAGCCUGGCCAUACGUCGCGAGCAGCGCGUGGGCCUC
This 75-nucleotide antisense RNA is filed under the name Actinoplanes awajinensis subsp. mycoplanecinus. Its description in RNAcentral is "ASpks TB sRNA". It matches the Rfam family "ASpks TB sRNA". Lineage: Bacteria; Bacillati; Actinomycetota; Actinomycetes; Micromonosporales; Micromonosporaceae. The record is from Rfam by way of RNAcentral.